GCAUUAAGUUGGGCACUCUAGAGAGACUGCCGGUGUCAAACCGGAGGAAGGUGGGGAUGACGUCAAGUCCUCAUGGCCUUUAUGACCAGGGCUACACACGUACUACAAUGGCAUGUACAAAGGGCAGCCACUUGGCGACAAGGAGCGAAUCCCGUAAAACAUGUCUCAGUCCGGAUUGGAGUCUGCAACUCGACUCCAUGAAGUUGGAAUCGCUAGUAAUCGUGGAUCAGCAUGCCACGGUGAAUACGUUCCCGGGCCUUGUACACACCGCCCGUCACACCACGGAAGUUGGUUGUACCAGAAGUAGUUGAGCAAACUUUUCG
Molecule: ribosomal RNA, 323 nt
Filed under: uncultured bacterium
Lineage: Bacteria
Description: bacterial SSU rRNA
Rfam family: Bacterial small subunit ribosomal RNA
Source: RNAcentral